This 262-nucleotide ribosomal RNA is filed under the name uncultured Nitzschia. RNAcentral describes it as "partial Eukaryotic large subunit ribosomal RNA". It matches the Rfam family "Eukaryotic large subunit ribosomal RNA", at positions 181 to 435 of the family's 3401-position model. Lineage: Eukaryota; Bacillariophyta; Bacillariophyceae; Bacillariales; Bacillariaceae. The record is from RNAcentral.
AUAAAUCCGUUCCUGGAACUGGGUGCCAGAGAGGGUUAGAGCCCCGUCUUUGACUCGGUCGGAAGUGCGUGAUAAGGUAGGCCCAGAGAGUCGGCUUGCUUGGGAAUGCAGGCCAAAUCGGGUGGUAAACUCCAUCUAAAGCUAAAUAUUGGCGAGAGACCGAUAGCGAACAAGUACUGUGAAGGAAAGAUGGAAAGAACUUUGAAAAGAGAGUGAAAAAGGGCUUGAAAUUGUUGAGAGGAGAAGUGAUUGGAGCCUAUCC